Molecule: long non-coding RNA, 1305 nt
Organism: Numida meleagris (helmeted guineafowl)
Lineage: Eukaryota; Metazoa; Chordata; Aves; Galliformes; Numididae
Exons: 3
Source: RefSeq, a predicted model, not a curated record
ACAGAAAUGAUUGACAAAUUAGAACACAUGCUAAAAUGAGACUAAAAAUGGCAGAAUUGCCUGUAUGCCAACACACAAAUGCACUGCAGUUAAACAAACACAAUUAGCCUUCAAAAUGAUGAGGACAAUUCAAUUCUAUUUAUUCCAAGGACAUUAUGGAAUCUGGAUUUCUUGUAACUUGCAAAGAGCAAUUACUGCUGGUACCAAAGCCAACAAAAUCUGCGGCAAUUUUGACUCCAUGUUGCGCUUGAGUGGAAUCCAAGAUUUUAUCCCUUGCUAUUUAAAAUAUCUAAAAUUAUUGAGGGUCUUUUUAAAAAGGUAAGAGCAAAUGGGGAAAUAAACUCAAAUUCUAAACUGGAGUUGUUAGAAACACAGUUUUUCUCUCUAUCUAAUUACCCCAUUUAUGAAAAGGAGACUAUUACCAUCCCUCUGAAAUUUUGCAAGGCAAGCUGGGAAAAUAGGGGAGGAAUGCUAUAAAAUAAUUAUCAGCCUGUAUAAAACAAUCAAACAAACAAAUCAAGAUUAAAAAUUUCAUGCAGAAAGUAGUCACACAGAAGCUCUAAAAAGGUCAGAACAAACCACUGAACAGCUUUUUUUUGUAUGACUUCUCUGUUUUGAGGGCUUUCAUGUGGCACUAUGCCAUGAAAUAGAAAAACUGAGAUCUUUGGCUGAAUAACUGAAUACUACACCAAGGAGAACAACAAGGAUAACAGCUGAGGAGAUUAAAGAGCAAUGCAAACUCUGAAUGAUUCAAAAGCUACACAACACUGCUGCUUGAGAAAGAGGAAUCACGCUGGGCUCAACACUGCACGGAAUGAUUGUACAGCUUUUGGAUUAGAAGCGACUUGCAUUCAGAGAGCUCAGUGCAUGGACAAGAAAAGGUCACUUCUGAUACAGAAGACCAUGCAGCUGUAUCUCUUUGUUUGAAAGGAAACUGUCAAACAGCUUACUAAAAAGAAACCAAGCUUUACCAACAUGACAUUCAGAAGAAAUUAAUGCUGCCCUUGUUUAUGAACUCCCACCAAAUAUUUCUAGGUAUUUUGCUGGCUGGGCUUUAUCUCCUCUGCUGACACACAAGAAUUCACUACCUCCCUGCUGAAUAUCAAACAAGCUGCAGGAGCCAACUUUCUAUCAACUUAUGAAAGGUAUAUGCUCAUAGCAGUGACUAAGAAAUGUUGCAUUCUACUUAUCUUUCAAUAUUUUGUCCUGGUUUCUCGAAGGCCUUUAACUUACAGGCAAUUUACUUACAGGCAAUUUCAAAUCAAUCAAAACGUACAGGAGGAAUAAAAUGAUAUAUAAACAGUG